RNAcentral lists this small RNA (28 nucleotides) under Bombyx mori (domestic silkworm). Its description in RNAcentral is "ovarian small RNA-20534". Lineage: Eukaryota; Metazoa; Arthropoda; Insecta; Lepidoptera; Bombycidae. The record is from RNAcentral.
UACCAAUUGAAACAGCUGUCCACCAACA